GCGGGGAUGGCGGAACGGCAGACGCAGCCGUCUUAAAAACGGCAGGGAAGACCUCCCGUGCGGGUUCGAGUCCCGCUCCCCGCACCA
Molecule: transfer RNA, 87 nt
Filed under: Thermomicrobium roseum DSM 5159
Lineage: Bacteria; Pseudomonadati; Thermomicrobiota; Thermomicrobia; Thermomicrobiales; Thermomicrobiaceae
Also listed under: 1 other name
Description: tRNA-Leu (TAA) (tRNA-Leu-TAA-1-1)
Rfam family: tRNA
About the family: Transfer RNA (tRNA) molecules are approximately 80 nucleotides in length. Their secondary structure includes four short double-helical elements and three loops (D, anti-codon, and T loops). Further hydrogen bonds mediate the characteristic L-shaped molecular structure. tRNAs have two regions of fundamental functional importance: the anti-codon, which is responsible for specific mRNA codon recognition, and the 3' end, to which the tRNAs corresponding amino acid is attached (by aminoacyl-tRNA synthetases). tRNAs cope with the degeneracy of the genetic code in two manners: having more than one tRNA (with a specific anti-codon) for a particular amino acid; and 'wobble' base-pairing, i.e. permitting non-standard base-pairing at the 3rd anti-codon position.
Source: RNAcentral